GCCGGCCUUUGCGGUCGGCUCCUCUCAAAUGGAUCAGCUUGCCAGCGUUUGGGGGCAUCGUAGGUGUGAUAACUAUCUCGCCCGCGGUCGCCUGCCAUGUAACCUUUGGCAACGGAGGUUCGCUGGGGCUUAUGAAAGCCCGAGGACGGGCAUUUCGAACGUUCGAUCUCAAAUCAGGUAGGACUACCCGCUGAACUUAA
This 200-nucleotide unclassified non-coding RNA is filed under the name soil metagenome. RNAcentral's name for it is "partial contains internal transcribed spacer 2 and large subunit ribosomal RNA". The record is from RNAcentral.